RNAcentral lists this small RNA (16 nucleotides) under Arabidopsis thaliana (thale cress). RNAcentral's name for it is "ATSL216380". The record is from RNAcentral. Lineage: Eukaryota; Viridiplantae; Streptophyta; Magnoliopsida; Brassicales; Brassicaceae.
GCGGGGGACAACGUUU